UGUUAUUUUGUGAAUCUGAGCCUAAAAAAAACAAAUUGGAAAUUAAAACUUUCAACAACGGAUCUCUUGGCUCUGGCAUCGAUGAAGAACGCAGCGAAAUGCGAUAAGUAAUGUGAAUUGCAGAAUUUAGUGAAUCAUCGAAUCUUUGAACGCACAU
Molecule: ribosomal RNA, 157 nt
Filed under: fungal endophyte
Lineage: Eukaryota; Fungi
Description: 5.8S ribosomal RNA
Rfam family: 5.8S ribosomal RNA (bases 47-157)
About the family: 5.8S ribosomal RNA (5.8S rRNA) is a component of the large subunit of the eukaryotic ribosome. It is transcribed by RNA polymerase I as part of the 45S precursor that also contains 18S and 28S rRNA. Functionally, it is thought that 5.8S rRNA may be involved in ribosome translocation.
Source: RNAcentral